CUCCUUCCCCUGGUAAACACUCAGAGGCGGCCCGGUGUCCUGAGGCCCUCAGCGAUCCGCUCGGCGUUUCUUGGUUCCUCCUGGUGCCGUUGAGCCGGUUUGGGUCGUCAGUUCCAGGGUCACCAGUCUCCCGAUCAGUAUUCAACACCAAACGGAGCCGAGGAACAUCUGGACACAUGAACAUGUCAUCCUUCUACACAGAAGAACCAGCUGGACACUAGCAGCAAAACGACAUCAGCGAUGGCGCAGGAGUGAGAUCAGCCCGGCUCCAGCUGUAAACAUCUGUCUGUUGAGGAAGAGGAAGGGAUGGGAGGAAGAGUGUGCAGGGAGGAGGCGAAGGAGGAGAAAAGGCGGGGUCCAGGCAGAGAGGACAGCCUGAUGUCUGCAGACAAAAUCAGAAGAUUCACCAAGCAGUCUGGACACAACGUCCUGAGCCUGGCCCGCCGUGGACUCAAGGACGCUCCGGGGGAGCUGUGGGAGCUGCUGGAGCUGGAGAAGCUGAACCUGUCCCUCAACAACCUGAAGGCGCUGCCUCCUCAGAUGGCCCUGCUGUCCAACCUGCUGGUCCUCAACCUGUGGGGGAACCAGCUCGGCAGCCUGCCGGCCGAGAUCGGCCAGCUGAGGAGACUCCGGGUUCUGUUCGUCUACAGAAACAGACUGACGGAGGUUCCUGAGGAGUUGGGGGCCUGCACACAGCUGGAGGUCCUGAGUCUGGCCAACAACCAGCUCUCCUCGCUGCCGGCUUCUCUCUCCAACCUGACCAAACUCAGGAAGCUCAACCUCAGCCACAACCUCAUGACUCACCUGCCUGGCUGCAUUUACAGCAUGAAGGCCCUGGUCUUCCUGGAUCUGUCCUGCAACCGUCUGGAGAACGUGGCUGAGAACAUCCAGGCUCUGCUGGAGCUCAAGAUCCUCAUCAUGGAGGGAAACCACCUCCACUCUCUGCCCAGAGGCCUCUGCUUCCUCACCAGGCUGGAGCUGCUCAACCUGGACUUUAACUACAUCAGAGACCUUCCUGAGCAGUUCCUCCAGGUCCUCCACCAGCAGAAUUACAAGAAGCAGACCCUCCCGACUUAUCCACCAUACCUGCAGCAAAUCCAAAGCCCUCUCUCUUCCACCUCAUCAUCCCUAUGACCACCACUACCCACCAGCCGACUACAACAUUUCAUGACCCGAACGAGAAAAACCAUGGAGAGCUGUUGAACCGGUUCAUGGCCCAACCAUAUUCACCAAACUCGACUUACGAAACGCAUACCAUCUUCUCUGCAUCCGUCGGGGAUGAAUGGAAGACGGCUUUCAAGACACCCAUAGGACACUUUGAAUAUUUAGUCAUGCCAUUCAAUUUGUUUUUCAGGCUCUUGUUAACGACGUUUUGAGAGAUUUUCUUAAUGUGUUUGUAUUUGUCUAUCUCAACGACAUUUUGAUCUAUUCCAAGUCCCUUAAUGAACACAAACAAGAUGUCCACCUCUAACUGCAACGACUCGUGGAAAAUAAACUUUUUGCCAAAGCUGAGAAAUGUGAAUUCCACAAACCAUCCGUUUCUCUCCUGGGCUUCAUACUCGAGGGCGGACAGAUUGAUUCCUCCUGAACACAACUACGAUCUCUUGUUGAUCGAGAACUACUUGCCAUAAAGCUUGCCUUGGAGGAGUGGCAGCAUUGGUUGGAGGGGGCAGAACAUCCUGUGCUGGUUUGGACACAAGAACCUCUCCUAUCUCCAAUCCACCAAAAGAUUAAACCCCCGUCAAUCCCACUGAUCUUCGUUUUUCUCUCGCUACAACCUGUCUAUCUCCUAUCAUCCUGGCUCUCGAAUGUCAAACCUGGUGCACUCUCCCGACUUCACUCCUCAGAUGACUCACAAAAAGUUCCAGCCACCAUUCUUCCUCCCAGUUGUUUAGUUGCCUCUGUAACCUGGGAGAUCGAAGACCUCAUCUGUCAAGCCCAACAAACUGAACCACCUCCUGACUCUGUUCCCCUCAACAAGGUCUACGUCCCCACUUCCAUUCGAGCCCGUCUCAUUCAGCGGAUACAUUCCUCUAAAUUCUCAGCUCACCCAGGUAUCAGUCGCACCAUCGCUCUUAUCAGCCGUAGGUUCUGGUGGCCGUCCCUACACAAAGAUGUCAAACAAUACACCUUAGCCUGUUCAGCUUGUGAAAGAAACAAGUCCUCUCAUCAACCUCCAUCUGGUCUCCUGCAACCGCUUUCCCUCCCUAAGCGCCCUUGGUCACACAACUCCAUUGACUUCGUUACAGGACUACCCAAGGUAUGACCACAAUCCUCACCAUCAUUGACUGUUUUUCUAAAUCUUGCCAUCUUGUUCCCCUCAGAAAACUUCCCACAGCUUUCCAGACUGCACUACGCCUCGUCAAACAUGUUUUCCUCCUCGCUUUCUUGAGGUGUUCGCUUUCUUGAGAUACCUCAAGAAAUCCUCUCUGACUGAGACUCACAAUUCAUCUGCCAGGUGUGGAAACAUUUCUGUUCAGCAUUGGAAGCUAAAGUAACACUCAUGUCUGGUUACCACCCCCAGUCAAAUGGACAAACUGAACGCAUGAACCAAGAACUCGAAUCCAUCCUCAGAUGCUUCACCUCCACUAAUCCGGCUGAUUGGAGUCAGGAUCUCUCCCCUGGGUCAAGAAUGCUCACAAUUUUCAUUUCUGCUGCUACUGGUUUUUCUCCUUUUGAAGUUUCUCAAGGCUAUCAUCCACCAAUCUUUCCCUCUGAUGAAAAAUAAAUAUCACUUCAGUACAACAUCACAUCCGCCGCUGCAGAAAUAUCUGGAACAGGACCAUCAUCGCUCUCAAUCAAACCGCUGAAUAAAACCGUCGCUACGCUGACCGUAAGAGAUCCCCUGAUCCACGGUAUUCACCUGGACAAAAGGUUUGGCUCUCUGCACGUGGUAUUCCACUUAAGUCCAUGUCCAGAAAACUUUCACCCAAGUUCAUCGGUCCCUAUGAAAUUGAAAGAGUCAUCAGCCCUACCACAGUCUGUCUUCGUCUCCCAUCGUCUCUCUGUAUCCAUCCCACAUUUCAUGUGUCCCAAGUCAAACCAGUCCGAACCAGCAACUUGUGAUCUAUCAUCUUGGAGUAUAUGAGGAGCAGGCUGCCAGCACUUUGACGCCUGAGUGUUUUCCAGUGUUUCCUCGUGAUGCCUUGGAUUUAUCCAUUGUGUCGCCCAAGAUCCUGGCCUUUUGUAUUUUCCCCUUGUGAUGUCAUGGACAGUUACCCACUGGUUGCCCGAGUCCCUUUCCACCUCCACAGAAGAACCACAGACAGUUCCUGGAUUUUCAGCUGGCAGUCGGAGCGCACCUCAGUCUCAUCUGAAACUUACCUGUCCGCCCUCCAUCGCAGCCUCUACCAUCUACGAACUCUCCAUCUGAACCUCGCCCUGAAACCUGGACCACUUCAAAGACCCCUGCGAAGAGUCCGAGACCGCAGUAAAACCUCCCUGAUGGAAUCUCAUCAUCUUCAAGUAAGAUCGCUGCAUUUAUCUCCGAGAACUCCUUUGUCCUACACACCUCGAACUCACCAUCUUUCCCUCACCAUCCUCAGAGUACAGACGACUCGGCUCCCAUCCGCAGGACAACUGCAUAUUUCAACAUUGCUUAAAUAAACUAUUUAUCUGA
Non-coding RNA from Poecilia reticulata (guppy), 3619 nucleotides. The record is from RefSeq and is a predicted model, not a curated record. NCBI's taxonomy places the organism in Eukaryota, Metazoa, Chordata, Actinopteri, Cyprinodontiformes, Poeciliidae.